CCUACGGGCGGCAGCAGUGAGGAAUAUUGGUCAAUGGGCGGGAGCCUGAACCAGCCAAGUCGCGUGAGGGAAGACGGUCCUACGGAUUGUAAACCUCUUUUGCCGGGGAGCAACGGGGUCCUUGCGAGGGCCCGAUGAGAGUACCCGGAGAAAACGCAUCGGCUAACUCCGUGCCAGCAGCCGCGGUAAUACGGAGGGUGCGAGCGUUAUCCGGGUUUAUUGGGUUUAAAGUGUGCGUAUGCGGGCUGUUAAGUCAGCGGUCAAAUGUCGGGGCUCAACCCCUAGAGUGCAACUGAUACUGUAUAACUUGAGUGUGAGAGAGGGAAGCGGAAUUCCUAGUGGAGCGGUGAAAUGCGUAGAUAUUAGGAGGAACACCAGUGGCGAAGGCGGCUUUCUGGCUCAUAACUGACGCUGAGGCGCGAAAGCGUGGGGAGCAAACAGGAUUAGAUACCCUUGUAGUC
This 461-nucleotide ribosomal RNA is filed under the name uncultured bacterium. Its description in RNAcentral is "partial 16S ribosomal RNA". It matches the Rfam family "Bacterial small subunit ribosomal RNA", at positions 338 to 795 of the family's 1533-position model. The record is from RNAcentral.